RNAcentral lists this transfer RNA (67 nucleotides) under Anabropsis (Apteranabropsis) sp. QS-2017. RNAcentral describes it as "Apteranabropsis sp. QS-2017 tRNA-Cys". Lineage: Eukaryota; Metazoa; Arthropoda; Insecta; Orthoptera; Anostostomatidae. RNAcentral also lists the same sequence under 1 other name. The record is from RNAcentral.
AGCCUUAUAGUCAAAAUAUGAUAUUAGACUGCAAUUCUAGGGUAGUAGUAUAAUACUACUAAGGCUU